GUGCUUGUUUUGACAGUACAUACACUAAAAUUGGAGUGACAAAAAGAUUAGCAGGGCCUCUGUGCAAGGAUAGCAUGAGAAUUCACAGAACGUUCCAUACCUUA
Molecule: small nuclear RNA, 104 nt
Organism: Nannospalax galili (Upper Galilee mountains blind mole rat)
Lineage: Eukaryota; Metazoa; Chordata; Mammalia; Rodentia; Spalacidae
Source: Ensembl